This 430-nucleotide ribosomal RNA is filed under the name uncultured Acidobacteriota bacterium. RNAcentral describes it as "bacterial SSU rRNA". It matches the Rfam family "Bacterial small subunit ribosomal RNA", at positions 355 to 776 of the family's 1533-position model. The record is from RNAcentral. Lineage: Bacteria; Pseudomonadati; Acidobacteriota.
UGGGGAAUUGUUCGCAAUGGGCGCAAGCCUGACGACGCAACGCCGCGUGGGGGAUGAAGGUCUUCGGAUUGUAAACCCCUGUCGAGCGGGACGAAUGGCCCGCGACCUAACACGUCGUGGGAGUGACGGUACCGCUAAAGGAAGCCACGGCUAACUCUGUGCCAGCAGCCGCGGUAAUACAGAGGUGGCAAGCGUUGUUCGGAAUUACUGGGCGUAAAGGGCGCGUAGGCGGCCUUCUAAGUCAGACGUGAAAUCCCCCGGCUUAACCUGGGAACUGCGUCUGAUACUGGAAGGCUUGAGUGCGGGAGAGGGAUGUGGAAUUCCAGGUGUAGCGGUGAAAUGCGUAGAUAUCUGGAGGAACACCGGUGGCGAAGGCGGCAUCCUGGACCGACACUGACGCUGAGGCGCGAAAGCUAGGGUAGCAAACGGG